UGGAACAUGAUCGUAAGGGCUGGCGGUCAGUCCUUUCCCUUAUGUUC
RNAcentral lists this microRNA precursor (47 nucleotides) under Ciona intestinalis (vase tunicate). RNAcentral describes it as "microRNA cin-mir-4006e precursor". The record is from miRBase by way of RNAcentral. Lineage: Eukaryota; Metazoa; Chordata; Ascidiacea; Phlebobranchia; Cionidae.